Physella acuta is the source of this 378-nucleotide long non-coding RNA. RefSeq lists it as uncharacterized. Lineage: Eukaryota; Metazoa; Mollusca; Gastropoda; Physidae. The record is from RefSeq and is a predicted model, not a curated record.
GUCGGACAGCAUGGUUCGCCAAUCGGGCGAACAUUGCCAGCCCGCAUCCCACAGCACAAGCGUACGGACUUGAUCAAGUUUUCUAACGAGGGGCGGAUACACCAAUAAAGUUUUGAUUCUCAUUUAGUCUUUAUGAUAGUACCAAGGUAUUCCUACAGCAAAAUAAAGAAUGAGCUGAACUGCCCGCCCCUUUCAACGCCAUCGUUUACCUGUAAGAAACAGAUCGAUAUCUAGGCACCGGAAAUGUCUUGGGAGAACCAGUCGACGACCCUCGGGCUAGAGGCCUACAUGUACUCGACCUCCUCCUCGUCUCCUGGCAUCGAGCUGUGUCCAGUGGCGGAUAACUCUAGCAGCAACUUCACGCAGUCGACCUUGUAC